Acanthosepion pharaonis is the source of this 110-nucleotide non-coding RNA. NCBI's taxonomy places the organism in Eukaryota, Metazoa, Mollusca, Cephalopoda, Sepiida, Sepiidae. The record is from the annotation of a GenBank genome assembly.
CGGUCACUACACUCUGAAACACCGGUUCCCGUACGAUCGUCGAAGUUAAGCAACCUUGAGUCUGAUCAGUACCGAGAUGGGUGACAGCUUGAGAAUACCAGAUGCCGUAA